RNAcentral lists this long non-coding RNA (814 nucleotides) under Marmota monax (woodchuck). The record is from RNAcentral. Lineage: Eukaryota; Metazoa; Chordata; Mammalia; Rodentia; Sciuridae.
UCUUUUCACAGGGUGGCCCAGCCUAACAGGACACACAGACGCAGGUCAUCUACACCAUCACCAUCUACACCUGUAGGAACAGUACGGCACUGAGCCCCUCUUCCCCUCAACACCCCCAGGGACCAGCAAGUACCCCAGGCUGCCCAGGACCCCUCCCAGCAGAAGCACGGAGCCUCCCCUGAAGCAGGAGACCUCCCCAUCUCCAGGCCAAGGACCCCCACCUUCCCUCCCCACUGGGCCUCCAGGAUGCAGCUGGAGGGGUGCGGCCGACUUCAGCUUUAUUUGCAUCAGCAAAUGCCCACAAUGCCCACGCCAUAUUCUUGGGUGCUAGGUUUUUGUUUUUAACCUAAAACAGGAAGGUAGGACUAGUAGUACUAGUGAUAUGAUGCAGUGGUCACAGGGGUCAUGGAGGCCCCUACCUCCACCCCGCCCCAAACUUCUCCAAAAAUCCUACAACUAAGACAAAUAGUGGGGACUGGAGUUGUGGCUCAGCCCUGCCUAGCACGUGUGAGGCACAGGGUUCAACUCUGAGCAUUGCAUAUAAAUAAAUAUAAUAAAGGUCCAUCAACAACUAAAAAAAUUUUUAGAAUUUUAAAAAUAGUGGGCCUAUCAUGAAACUGCAGUUUCAAGAGAAACCAUGUGCCCAACUUCCAAGCUUCUGCCCUUCAGCCCAAAGUGGCAGAAUCUAAGACGUGGCCCCUGAGCAGAGGUGGGAUUCAGUGAAGGGUGAGAAGCCUGAGUCUGGGCCCCACCUACCUACCCCUGUAGCUCCUGCCAUCUCAGGAAGACAGAAGGGCCUGAACUGGUGUUAGAG